GAUGAACGCUGGCGGCGUGCCUAAUACAUGCAAGUCGAGCGAACGGACGAGAAGCUUGCUUCUCUGAUGUUAGCGGCGGACGGGUGGGUAACACGUGGAUAACCUACCUAUAAGACUGGGAUAACUUCGGGAAACCGUAGCUAAUACCGGAUAAUAUUUUGAACCGCAUGGUUCAAAAGUGAAAGACGGUCUUGCUGUCACUUAUAGAUGGAUCCGCGCUGCAUUAGCUAGUUGGUAAGGUAACGGCUUACCAAGGCAACGAUGCAUAGCCGACCUGAGAGGGUGAUCGGCCACACUGGAACUGAGACACGGUCCAGACUCCUACGGGAGGCAGCAGUAGGGAAUCUUCCGCAAAGGGCGAAAGCCUGACGGAGCAACGACGCGUGAGUGAUGAAGGUCUUCGGAUCGUAAAACUCUGUUAUUAGGGAAGAACAUAUGUGUAAGUAACUGUGCACAUCUUGACGGUACCUAAUCAGAAAGCCACGGCUAACUACGUG
Molecule: ribosomal RNA, 497 nt
Filed under: uncultured bacterium
Lineage: Bacteria
Description: partial 16S ribosomal RNA
Rfam family: Bacterial small subunit ribosomal RNA
Source: RNAcentral